RNAcentral lists this ribosomal RNA (771 nucleotides) under uncultured Hyphomicrobiales bacterium. RNAcentral describes it as "bacterial SSU rRNA". It matches the Rfam family "Bacterial small subunit ribosomal RNA", at positions 94 to 901 of the family's 1533-position model. Lineage: Bacteria; Pseudomonadati; Pseudomonadota; Alphaproteobacteria; Hyphomicrobiales. The record is from RNAcentral.
AGUGGCAGACGGGUGAGUAAUGUAUAGGAAUCUACCUAGUAGUACGGAAUAAUUGUUGGAAACGGCAACUAAUACCGUAUACGCCCUACGGGGGAAAAAUUUAUUGCUAUUAGAUGAGCCUAUAUUAGAUUAGUUAGUUGGUGAGGUAAAGGCUUACCAAGACAAUGAUCUAUAGCUGAUCUGAGAGGAUGAUCAGCCACACUGGAACUGAGAUACGGUCCAGACUCCUACGGGAGGCAGCAGUGGGGAAUAUUGGACAAUGGGCGAAAGCCUGAUCCAGCCAUGCCGCAUGAGUGAAGAAGGCCUUCGGGUUGUAAAGCUCUUUUAGUGAGGAAGAUAAUGACGGUACUCACAGAAGAAGUCCUGGCUAACUUCGUGCCAGCAGCCGCGGUAAUACGAAGGGGGCUAGCGUUGUUCGGAUUUACUGGGCGUAAAGCGCACGCAGGCGGAUAUUUAAGUCAGAGGUGAAAUCCCGGGGCUCAACCCUGGAAUUGCCUUUGAUACUGGGUAUCUGGAGUACAGAAGAGGUAAGUGGAAUUCCGAGUGUAGAGGUGAAAUUCGUAGAUAUUCGGAGGAACACCAGUGGCGAAGGCGGCUUACUGGUCUGUUACUGACGCUGANGUGCGAAAGCGUGGGGAGCAAACAGGAUUAGAUACCCUGGUAGUCCACGCCGUAAACGAUGGAAGCUAGCCGUCGGCAAGUUUACUUGUCGGUGGCGCAGUUAACGCAUUAAGCUUCCCGCCUGGGGAGUACGGUCGCAAGAUUAAAACU